AGCCCAAGAAAACCUCCUCCUUAUAAUAGUGAGAAAGCCAAGUUUCUAAUUUUGCACCAGCUUACUUUUGGUCUUAGAAACGCUGACUUAAUUAAAUUCUUUCAAUCUUUGCCAGCUUGACUAGGCGGAAAACUUCUUUUCUCGGGGUUCCUUAUCCACAAACCUUCAGUGACUUUCUUACUCAUAUUCAGAGUUUGUUCUUUCCUCUUUCCCAUAACCACUUUGACUUUAGGACCAAUUUACUUUCUUAAAACAUCUCCAUUCCUUAUACCUUCGUUUACUGAAAACAUACAUUUCCUUAUAGCAUAAAUUUUUCAGUGUGGAACAAGACAUGUUUACUAAUAGACCCAAACAUCUUUUAGGUUUUUUGUUUUUAAUCAGAAGCUGAAAGUAGAUAAACCUAUGUUUAGUAAUUAAUGUUUUACUAUUUUAUGUUAUCUGGAAAUGAUCAAGAUACUCAAUAAAUUUCUAGCAUUUAACUUAAUUUAGUAAAACUCUAAGGUUUCAAGUUACUAAGAGGUUUUGAAGUUAUUUUUAAGUACUUAUACCAUAACACAUUAUUAUUAAAAAGUUCAGCUAAAAACUUUUAUCUUACUUACAUCAUUUACUUUACUUGUUCCAAAUAAUUUUGUUUACAUUACCUACAAAAACUUCAUGAGACAUUAGACAAAGGCAGCCGUCACUUUUCUGCUGACAAAUUUUGUAGCAGAGAUAAUGUAAACUUGUUUGAUUUUUAGUAAAGCUAGGUAGAACAAGUUUUCUAUUUUAUGCUGGGAACUCUCAGGACAUGCCUAUUUUAAUUAACCCAACAAACUUAGACAAGCUUUUAUUUACCAAAGAUUAUUUUAUAUCACGUUAACUUGACAAACAUUUAGAUUAGUUUCUAUUGUCGACAAAAAAUAAUCCAUAACCAAUCUAUAAAUGCAAAUUUGGGUGAGUUUAUUCUGAGCUUAAAUCUGAGGAUUAUAACCCGGGGCCUUUCUUCCCGAAGGAAGAAAGGGCACCAAAGAAGUGGGGUGCACAGACUGGUUAUAUACCCCCAGAGAGGAUGUUUCACAUAGGAUUGAAAUGUCCCUUUCACAAUAGUCGCGAGACUGCUCUGUCGGCACAGCAAUUGAUGGAAACAGCAGGUAGGUCUCCUGUCUCAGUGAACACAGCAGGGUGGCAGUCUGUUGUCUCCAGCUGAGUGGUCACAGGUGAGCUGGGUGGUGAAAGCUGAGUGCAGCAAUCAGUUCCUAGCCAAAGGAAAAAUGCUUAUCCCUAAGGAAAUGCUAAUGUGGGGGCGAAGUUCCACCUUUUUCUCAAGGGCCUUUGUUCUGGCCACAGGAAAUGUCUAAGCAGAUAUACAAUGCGUGCUCAACAGCCACAGUCAGACCCUUUUGGAAAAAACAAAGUCAGGCCAAAUUAGGUUUAUACCAAACGGCUUCCUCAUAUACUCCAAUAUACCCUAUUGCUUGCCAUUUUUAUUUGUCAUUUCCCCCUUUUGAUCUCUAAUCUUUCGAUAGAAAGCAUUUAUGAUCAAAAUAUUAUCCCUCGGCCCCAGAGUGGUUGCUGCCUGCCCUGGGUCCAUCAUGUCCCUCGGUGCUAGGCUUUGAGCUCAUUUAUUUGCCUAGCCGAUCACGUUGGGGGGAAAUAGUGGACAAGCAUAGAGUUAUAUAUAUAUUAACAGAGGAAGUAUUUCAUGUCAUGUAAUUUCCAAUUAAUUUUAGAUUGUUGCACAAACAUUGUAUAUGUGCUUUUCUAUGACAGUUCACAUUUACAUUGUAUAUGAUUAUAGAACAAGUACAGUAAUGACAGUAACUCAACAUAUUUGAAAGGAUUAGUCUGAAAUGAAUUCUUAGUCAUAGUCCCUAUCAGAAAAGGAAAUUUCUCCAGGGUUAUAAGACAGAUCGACCAUCUCAAGCCGUUGAGCAAUCAUUACUUGAGUUUGUAUGCUACUCUUACAACACUGAGUAAAGAAAACAACAAUUAGUUUGAAUAUUAUGACCAGCACAAGGAUUCCAAUAAAUAAUAGAAAUAGGAAUUCCAAUCCGGAUCGAAAAAGGGAACUGAUACUGAAAAGGGAGCCAACGAAACAAAUCAAACUAGGUGCAGGAUCGCAUAAGGCAUCCACCUGCUUCUUCAUGUGCUUUAGCAGAGAUGACACAUUGGAAGAUUCAUGACGUAUAAAAGCACAGCAUUCAGUCUGAAUGAUUGUCUAUGUACCACCUUGGGAUGCAGUAAGAAUAUGUAAAGGCAUUCUGUUUGGAAGGAAAGCCCUUCUCAUUAAAGACAUUUCAGUAUUUGAAUAAGGUUAUUCCUGCUUGACUAUCAUUAAGGGCUUCUUGAGUAAAUUUAGUCAGAGCUUCCAAAUGUAAUAAUGACAUCUUUUAACUGCAAAGAAGAAGCAAAUAUAGCUGCAAAUAUAGCCAUACCAGUGUAACACUGAACAAGCCCAUCUGGCCUUAAGAAAGGGAGAUUGCCAUCAGGUUUUAACUCAGCCUGACUCCUUCCCUGCUUUUAAAGGAAGCUCAGGGUGCAGUGUCUUAGCCAUCCAGGCAGUAGCCAAGGCCAAAGAUUUGUUCCACAUAACCAUUGAGUUCCAUUAGGAGUCACUCGAUAAAUUCCUGGCCUUCAAGAUCAGUCUGUUCCAAAUUAAUCACUUUAAGUAUGAUAGCAUUCCAAACAAAUUAUAAAAUAGGUAUACAGUUUAAGCAUAACAAAUGUUUAAAUGAGGAGAUAUAAGGUAGGGAGAAAAAGAUAAAUGUCUCAGUUUUGCUCACAAAGGUAUAACUUCACUCAAUUUCACUAAAUUGCU
Equus caballus (horse) is the source of this 2797-nucleotide long non-coding RNA. Lineage: Eukaryota; Metazoa; Chordata; Mammalia; Perissodactyla; Equidae. The record is from Ensembl.